Molecule: ribosomal RNA, 396 nt
Filed under: uncultured bacterium
Lineage: Bacteria
Description: bacterial SSU rRNA
Rfam family: Bacterial small subunit ribosomal RNA
Source: RNAcentral
GAUGAACGCUAGCGGCAGGCUUAACACAUGCAAGUCGAGGGGCAGCAUGAAGGUUAGCAAUAACUUUUGAUGGCGACCGGCGCACGGGUGAGUAACACGUAUGCAACCUGCCCUUGUCAGGGGGAUAAGCGGGGGAAACCCCGUCUAAUACCGCAUAUAUGGUUUGGAGGCAUCUCUAAAUCAGGAAAGAAUUAUCGGACAAGGAUGGGCAUGCGGGACAUUAGGUAGUUGGGGGUGUAACGGACCACCAAGCCGACGAUGUCUAGGGGUUCUGAGAGGAAGGUCCCCCACACUGGUACUGAGACACGGCCCAGACUCCUACGGGAGGCAGCAGUAGGGAAUAUUGCACAAUGGAGGAAACUCUGAUGCAGCCAUGCCGCGUGUGUGAAGAAGGCC